CGGAGGUGGGUGAAGAACCGGACGGGCUUGGGCUGGCCGUCGACGGCGAGCUGGAACUCGACCUUGAAGGGGAGGUUGGCCGUGACGCGCUUGCCCUUCCACACGCAGACGUACUGCUUGACGACGCCCUCCAUGCCCUGGAUGUCCAGGUCGGGCGCCUUGAUGACGUGGUAGACGCGGAGCGGCGCCGUGACGCGCACCCGCCUGCCGAUCUUGGGCGCGGCCGCGGCCUCCUCGGCCGCCACGUCGUCCGACUCCGAGGUCACCGCGUUGGUGAGCGCGACCUGGAGGAGCAGGCGCGCGCGGCGCGGGGCCGGGGGCGGGCCGGGGAGCCGGGCGAAGGCGGAGGACGCGGGCGCCGGGGAAGGGAGGCGGCGGUGCAGGAGCACCGAGGAGGUGGAGGUGGACGGCGGCGCCACGGACGCGGUGGCGGUCGCCAUUGGGGUAUGCGCGCGGCGGGGAUGGAGGGAGGCCGGACGGACUCCGGUGUUGUUGGGUCGAACAGGUGGUGGGCGCGGGAGAGGCGAGGAAAGGAUAGAGGCGCGGGGGAAACGAAAGGCGGAGGGGAGCGGAUGGCCGUUGCGACUGCGAGUUGCCUAUAGGUUGAUUGCCUUCUCCGUUCGUUUGGGCCUCGGGAAAUGCUGAGAGUUUGGCGAGUUUGCACAGCGUCUAGCACGGAAAUCAACUGGAUAAGGCGGGAGCGCACGCCUGGCUGUGGUUUGCUCUGCUCGCCGUGCCCGGGGCAGAGAGGCGAGGACGGCGACGAUAUGGCAUGGGCGCGUGGCAGCGGCACCCUUCACGUAAUCACGGUUUGCGGUUCGCCGACUCGCCACGUGGCGUCGGCUCUAUUUGGCCACUUGCCGCCGGGGUCGCUCCCGUCGACGCUUGACAACGCACGCACGCACUGUAGGAAAUUUGCGUGUUGGUUCUGUUACAAAUAUCCUCGUACAGUGGUGAUCUCAGCCGCCUCCUUUGCGAUCCCCCUCUGUCGAAUCCUAAAAGCAAGUCUUCUCGUAGAGUUUCUCCCGGCAUGCAUACGGAAAACUCCCCGUAGCCACGGGACGUGCGUCGUGAUUACUUCGAGCGAGAGUUUUCUCCUCGUAACCUCUCUUUAAUAUUAUGUAUAAAUAUCACCUAUGAUCCAUACAAUAAGGUUGUCUCGAACAAGAGAUUCAUCGUGAAACUGAAACCUAAAAUAAGUCGGCAACAUAAUACUUAGUCUAACAAACUAACUAUAUAGAGCUUGUUUGGCACAGCUCAACUUCACUAGUAAAGCUGUUUUUUUAGAAAAUAGCUUCACGAGUGACUUAUGAAGCUGAGCUGUUUUGGAAAAAAUAUUUGGCAAAAUAGCUUCACCAACUACUUCAUGCAUAGUUGAGAGAGAGAAAUGAGUGAGAAGCUGCAAUAAGCUACUUUUUUCCAGCUUCAUCCAACUUAUGUCUUUGUGAGAGGAGAGGAAAAACAGCUUCAUCCAUGAAGCUGUUUUGGAAAUAAGUGUUUGGCAAAAAAAAACAGCUCACAACAGCUCAUGAAGCUGCUGUGAAGCUCAUGAAGCUGUUGUGAGCUGUACCAAACAGGCCCAUAGAAAACUCAUUUUAGGUAUUGAGAAAGGCAUAACUCAAGUAUGAAUAUCGUCUCUUAAGACCCAUUUGAAGAAAGGGUUAUCUUUUAGAUCUUGUUGUUAAAAAAAACUAAAACUAGAUAUGAAAUCCUUUGACUGUACCGCUGCCCAAACUACGGUGUUAGAGUUGUUUGGUUUAUUUUAAUAGCUUUGCCAAGCCACAAGUAGACACGCCACAAUUUGGCAUGUAUUUGAUUAAUACCACAACUAUGGCAUGCCAAACUUUUGUAGUCAUAUGUUCCACAUGUCAAAAUCAGUUUGAUGCCAAACUUUCUUAGCCUAUGUCCCACAUGUCAUAGUCAUUUCGAUGGCAAACUUUAAGACAAAUGUGGUGCUCGAUUUGUUGGCUACAUUUCUCCUAAUUUUAGUUGCAGCAAAGUUAGGCAUCAACCAAACAUGCCAAUGACGAUUACAUUGCUAUAACGAAAUCAUAACAAGAAAAAAAAUGAUAUUUAUUACACAAAGAAUAGAGUUCGCAUAUCUCAUUUUACUUAAAACCCCAACAGGAUAGGUCUGUAGAACUGAUGAAUCGAAACUACCUAGAAGCAAAACUUCCCAUCCAAGGGCAGCAUAACAUAUAUCUCAAACGCAUCAACGCAGAUAUUUAGUUAUAUCCCCGCAAAUAUCACCACCUGAAUGUGCACCUAUUUAGACUCCGUCAGAACAACAAAAUAAGAAUAUAAUGAACAUUAUCAACCCUACAAAUUCUGCUAUAGAGGGAAAUCUUUACAUGCAAAUACUACUAUGGGCGUACCAUUCCAUAAUUUUACCAUAAUCAGAAGCAUCCAUUUAUGGAGAUUGAGUGCUACUUUCUGUCUUCGGAUCCAAGAUCUCACUCAAGGAUGCAGAACGGACGAGUGAAGCUGCUGGUAGAGAGGCCAAUGAUUCGGCAGCCGGAAUGCGAAAAAGAUAUACACGAUAAUUCUCCUCUUUCGCUGUCUCCAUGCUCUUGUUCAUAUCUUGUUCUAGUCUGAAAGCAUAGUCAUACAGGGGUCCAGGAGCUCCUCUUGCAGUUCGCUUUGCAUCGACAAGUGCCUUAAUUCCGACCUGCAAUCGAGAUAUCUCCUCACCAAUUUCUGUCUUCCCAUGGAGUUCAAUACUGUACCUAUAGCAAGCUUCUGCAUUGAACAGAGCAGCCUUCAAUUGGACAUGGGAUACCCAUGAUCUUUCAAAGUGGUUCUGCAGCGGAGGAGCCACUAGUGCAGCAUAAGCUUCUUCAUAGUACAGGGCAGCCUGCAUACAGCCAGACACAUAAGAGUUUAGUCUUUUCCUGAGGUGAUUGAUUUUUUCACACAAGAAAGGAUAUUGAAUUUUUGAAUGCUGAGCAACAUACAAACAUAUGUAUUGUUAGUGCUAAUCGACCGGAGGUUGUAGCGAUGGUGGGUUGUAGGACGAGGUUUGAAGAGACGGCGGCGAGCUGGGGGCGCCGUGCUUGGCGCCAGGUGUUCGAUGAACUCGACAAUGGAAUUACAGGGAACAGGAGAAUUAGGGCCGGGUGCCCAAGGGAGAUAGAUAUAUCUCAAUCCCAGGCUAGUCUCUUUAAUCCAUAGAGUUUGAUACUUAUACAUGACCUCCUAACAACCUGUAGCUAAAUAAAAGGACUAACAGACUCCAACUAGGACUCGACUACUUAACCAAGCUUAACUAACGCAGCUAGAUUCAGGCCUGGCGCACACAAGCCGUGCAGCCUGCCUAACCUGCCGCCCGACUCCUUCUAGCAUAUGUUCUUCCCACCAUAACAACUCUCCCGCCCUCGACAAACAGCUCGUCCUCGAGCUGGAAUGAUGGAAAGCGGCUUCUGAAAUCUUCCAGGGGCUCCCAAGUAGCUUCAGAGUCUGGCAAGUUGAGCCACUGAAUCAGGACAUGCCAAACGCCCCAAACGUAGUUGAGCACGGAUCGCCCGCGCCGGUUGGAGCAAGAGCCGGCCAUGGCGCAUGGGAGGAAGCGGAGGCGUCGUGGGCGCCGAUAUGGCUUGAGAACACCGACGUGAAACAGGUCAUGAAUCCGGGCGUCGGCAGGUAGCUCCAACCGAUACGCGACAUCGCCGACGCGUUCCAGAACGCGAAAGGGGCCAGCAAACCGAGGACGCAGCUUCCCCCGAGGGCCGGGUACCAGUGAUUGUGCCGGGCGAUGAAGAAGGCGAAGCCAAACCCAAUCUCCUACAGCAAACUCCAGAGCACGGUGGUUAGCAUCAUAAUACUUCUUAGCAUAGACCUGGCCCUGCAGCAGGCGUUCACGGACUUCCUCCAGAAAUGUAUCCCGGUCCUGCAGGAGUCUAUCCGCGGCCCCUGUCUGAGAUGAGCCGGCUGUAUAGGGCAGUAGCGCCGGGGGAUCCAGGCCAUACACGACCUUGAAGGGGGAAGUGCGCAAAGACGAGUGGUGGGCAGUGUUAUAACAAUAUUCUGCCCACGGAAGCCAGUCGAGCCAUGCGCGCGAUCGAUCGCCGGUGAGGCAGCGCAAGUACAUGGCGAUCAUUUUGUUGACAGCCUCCGACUGCCCGUCCGUCUGCGGUGGAAGGCAGUGCUCAUCUUCAGCUUGACACCCGCGAGCCGGAACAAGUCGCGCCACACAUGUCCCGUGAACACCGGAUCGCGGUCACUUACAAUCGAGCUUGGAAACCCAUGAAGACGGACGAUAGCUUCAAAGAACGCGCGAGCCACCGAGAUUGCUGUAUACGGAUGGCUCAAGGGUAUGAAGUGCGCGUAUUUGGAAAACCUGUCCACCAGGCUGCGUGGUGGUGGGCGGGGACGAGACGCCGACCGAGGUGGUGGGUGGUGCGAAGCCUACCGAGACGCCGGAGGUUGGCGGCGGCUGCGACAUGGUCUCUGAUACCAGAUUGUUAGUGCUAAUCAACCGGAGGUUGUAGCGAUGGUGGGUUGUAGGGCGAGGUUUGAAGAGACGGCGGCGAGCUGGGGGCGCCGUGCUCGGCGCCAGGUGUUCGAUGAACUCGACAAUGGAAUUACGGGGAACAGGAGAAUUAGGGCCGGGUGCCCAAGGGAGAUAGAUAUAUCUCAAUCCCAGGCUAGUCUCUUUAAUCCAUAGAGUUUGAUACUUAUACAUGACCUCCUAACAACCUGUAGCUAAAUAAAAGGACUAACAGACUCCAACUAGGACUCGACUACUUAACCAAGCUUAACUAACGCAGCUAGAUUCAGGCCUGGCGCACACAAGCCGUGCAGCCUGCCUAACCUGCCGCCCGACUCCUUCUAGCAUAUGUUCUUCCCACCAUAACAUGUAUUCAUUUUAUCACUCUAAUAAAAUGAUAAACAGUGUCAUGCAUGCUCAUUAGUACCAACACAGAAGGCACAAAAAAAACAGCAGUAGCACCAUCAACUAGAGAUUAGUCAUCAAUUUGGGAAACUAGGAUCAUCCAUUUAUUUACUUUUAGUUUCUAUUCUUUAAAAGAAAAAAAACAAUCAGAACUGUCCAUAUAGUUUAAGCUAACCUUUGGUCGAUAAAAUAAAACUGAAUUCCUUUAGUCUCUAUAAAGUUCCUCUCCCUUUCUGAACUUCUUUCCCCUGACCAAACUAAGCUUUAAAGUUCAAGAUGUUGUCUACGAUGUGCAUCACAUAACAUAGAAAGAGUAAGGGACAUUGUCUAAAUAUCUCAAUCAACUUGUUAGCUUUAAGAACAGGUAUAAUCCACAAACUUCUGGAACCGAUGGUUUGGAUGUACACUCAAACCACCUAAGUGUGAAUCCUCUUCUACUUUAUCUAUUCAAAAUGUAAUUCCUCCUACACAUCCCUCAACCUGGGAUUUACAAAGAUUCAUUCUUUUAUGUUUGAUGUGUUCACCAAUCCACCAAGAUAUCUUGUUGUACAAAAUCAAAAACUGUCAAGGAUAACAAGGCAUCAUCAACCUUUCACCAUAUGUAAAUUAAUGACUAAAAUCUCACUUGGCCAGCCAACGUUUCCGAUUCGCUUUGUUUUAUGUGUUGCAGUGAUUAAUGAAGUAAAUGUGCAUCCAAGCAACAUAAAAAUGAGCAACAACGCACUUUAGAAUCAACUGCAACCAGUACUGAAGGAAGAAUGACAGAAUAUUAAGUAUUUAACAGACAUAAUGAGAUGAUGUUUCAGACCACAAAAAGUAACUAACUACUCCACCGUUCCAAACUAUAGUUCACUUUAGCUUUAUCCUAGGUAAAAUUUCUCAAACUUUGUCCUAAGUUCAUUGAAAAAUAUGUUAACAAACUUGGUCAAAAGUAUAUAAUUUGGAAAAGAGGGAGUAUGUAUAAGUAAAAUUUGCUGUCCGGAACAUCAUCUAAUUAUGACUGGAUGUAGUAUUGAUUGAUUCUUCUAUUUGGAUAUGUUACCAUGAUGCAACAAAAAGCACAACUACUUAUAAGUGAAUUUACAUCUUUUUAAUAGGGGUAGAUCAUAGGUGGAAGUAGAUCUCAGAGCUACCAGAGAUGGAACUGAUUCAUAAUAUGGACAAUCUAAUUUUGACAAUGCAAUUCAUGUAAAGCUCCAAACUAAUGCCAAUUUCCAAUGUCCAAAGCAUCAACACUUACGCCCUCUAAUCCCUAUCACAUUCCCAUGGGUUCAUUCAAAAGGGAACAUGUGCAUUUCGAAUUCAUAUUUCUUGACCAACCUGGCAAAUCUACUGGGGAGCACCGGAGCACUACCAUCUUCAGUUCCUCGUUCGAUCAACACUGACAAAUAGCCACUCCUACCAUCUUUUUCAGUGUUUGCUUUUAACAUACAUUUUCUCAUCUUAAAAUACCCAAACGAAUUUUCAUCAAACUUCGAUCAGAGAGUAGUCAUAAUAAACUGUUAAAAGCGCAUUUCUGCAUUUUGCAAAGAAUUUGAUCUCUGAAGUUAUGCGAAGCGCACUGCAAUUAAACCCCCAACAGAGACAUAACGAGAGGAAUGUAUAGGAACAGGGCGUGCAGUCAGUAAAAUCUCACCUGCCUAGCCACUUUGGAGCACACCGGCGGUGAUCUCCCCGCGGCGAGAGCGCGCUCAAAACAGCACUCCUGCGCCUGCGCGAGCAUGAGGCGCUCCAGCAUCGCCGAGGCCUGAGAACUCAUAUCCACCGUCGUCGCCUCUUCCUCUUCCAUCAUCUCCCCCACCGCGCGGAACGCCCCCGCGGCGCGCUGGAACUCUCCGCACGCCGCCCUCACCCCUUCCUCCGUGGCGCGGCUCACGGCCGCCGCGAUCCUCGAGGCGGCCGCGCC
This 6797-nucleotide long non-coding RNA is filed under the name Sorghum bicolor (sorghum). RNAcentral describes it as "long non-coding RNA (SBIC_LNC007331)". Lineage: Eukaryota; Viridiplantae; Streptophyta; Magnoliopsida; Poales; Poaceae. The record is from RNAcentral.